Molecule: transfer RNA, 91 nt
Filed under: Aquificota bacterium
Lineage: Bacteria; Pseudomonadati; Aquificota
Also listed under: 2 other names
Description: Aquificae bacterium tRNA-Ser
Rfam family: tRNA
About the family: Transfer RNA (tRNA) molecules are approximately 80 nucleotides in length. Their secondary structure includes four short double-helical elements and three loops (D, anti-codon, and T loops).
Source: RNAcentral
GGAGAGGUGACCGAGUGGCCGAAGGUGCUCGCCUGCUAAGCGAGUGUGCCCCACAAGGGCACCGUGGGUUCGAAUCCCACCCUCUCCGCCA